Molecule: small nucleolar RNA, 331 nt
Organism: Girardinichthys multiradiatus
Lineage: Eukaryota; Metazoa; Chordata; Actinopteri; Cyprinodontiformes; Goodeidae
Source: RefSeq, a predicted model, not a curated record
AUCCAAUGAUGAGACCGUGGCAUUAUUUAUGAUCUGGUCAGACCUAGAAACUGUGGUCCUUAAUCAGCUGUUUGGUGAGUAAUCUUGGUAGUGUGACUGAGUUUUAUUACACUGCUGUAAGGGCUCACCUAUAGUCAAACUGCCAGCUUCUGCAACCUCUACCCCAUAAUAAGAAAUUUUGUGGGAUCUGUAGAAGAUGUCAAACAUUGUGUGACUUCUUGUUUGUCUUUGUGUGUUUUGUGUGAAUGUAUAUGUAUCAGCUGGCAAAAGGCUGCAGUCUCUGUAAUUUGUUUGGCAGAUAUGAACAAUCAUCUUUGGUAAUCUGAGGAUA